AGAGUUUGAUCNUGGCUCAGAGUGAACGCUGGCGGCACGCCUAACACAUGCAAGUCGAGCGAUAAGCUAACUUCGGUUAGUGGACAGCGGCGGACGGGUGAGUAUCGCGUGGGAAUUUACCAUAGAGUGGGGGACAACUGCUGGAAACGGCAGCUAAUACCGCAUACGCCCUAAGGGGGAAAGGCUUCGGCCGCUCAAUGAGAAGCCCGCGUACGAUUAGUUUGUUGGUGGGGUAAUGGCCUACCAAGACUACGAUCGUUAGCUGGUCUGAGAGGACGAUCAGCCACACUGGGACUGAGACACGGCCCAGACUCCUACGGGAGGCAGCAGUGGGGAAUAUUGGACAAUGGGCGAAAGCCUGAUCCAGCGAUGCCGCGUGAGUGAAGAAGGCCUUAGGGUUGUAAAGCUCUUUCGGUGGGGAAGAUAAUGACGGUACCCACAAAAGAAGCCCCGGCUAACUCCGUGCCAGCAGCCGCGGUAAUACGGAGGGGGCUAGCGUUACUCGGAAUUACUGGGCGUAAAGCGAGCGUAGGCGGUUUAAUAAGUUGAGGGUGAAAGCCCGGGGCUCAACCCCGGAAAUGCCCUCAAAACUAUUUGACUAGAGGACGGGAGAGGGGAGUGGAACUCCCNGUGUANAGGUGAAAUUCGUAGAUAUUGGGAAGAACACNAGUGGNGAAGGCGACUCUCUGGACCGUUUCUGACGNUANGCUCGAAAGCGUGNGUAGCAAACAGGAUUAGAUACCCUGGUUAGUCCACGCCGUAAACGAUGAUUUGCUAGACGUUGGGGGGAACGCNUCUCAGUGUCGUCNCUAACGCAUUNAUGCAAUCCGCC
Molecule: ribosomal RNA, 832 nt
Filed under: uncultured bacterium
Lineage: Bacteria
Description: bacterial SSU rRNA
Rfam family: Bacterial small subunit ribosomal RNA
Source: RNAcentral